CAGUCGCCACGGUAAUGCAGAGGAUGCAAGCGUUAUCCGGAAUGAUUGGGCGUAAAGCGUCUGUAGGUGGCUUUUCAAGUCCGCCAUCAAAUCCCGAGGCUCAACCCUGGACAGGCGGUGGAAAUACCAAGCUGGAGUACGGUAGGGGCAGAGGGAAUUUCCGGUGGAGCGGUGAAAUGCGUUGAGAUUGGAAAGGACACCAACGGUGAAAGCACUCUGCUGGGCCGACACUGACACUGAGAGACGAAAGCCAGGGGAGCAAAUGGGAUUAGAUACCCCCGUAGUCCCUGUCUCUUAUACA
Molecule: ribosomal RNA, 301 nt
Filed under: uncultured bacterium
Lineage: Bacteria
Description: partial 16S ribosomal RNA
Rfam family: Bacterial small subunit ribosomal RNA
Source: RNAcentral